GAGUUUGAUCCUGGCUCAGAUUGAACGCUGGCGGCAUGCCUUACACAUGCAAGUCGAGCGGCAGCGCGGGGGCAACCCUGGCGGCGAGCGGCGAACGGGUGAGUAAUGCAUCGGAACGUGUCCUCUUGUGGGGGAUAAACCAGUCGAAAGACUGGCUAAUACCGCAUGAGAUCGCGAGAUGAAAGCAGGGGACCGCAAGGCCUUGCGCGAGAGGAGCGGCCGAUGCCGGAUUAGCUAGUUGGUGGGGUAAAAGCCUACCAAGGCGACGAUCCGUAGCUGGUCUGAGAGGACGACCAGCCACACUGGGACUGAGACACGGCCCAGACUCCUACGGGAGGCAGCAGUGGGGAAUUUUGGACAAUGGGGGCAACCCUGAUCCAGCCAUGCCGCGUGUGUGAAGAAGGCCUUCGGUU
This 413-nucleotide ribosomal RNA is filed under the name uncultured beta proteobacterium. RNAcentral's name for it is "bacterial SSU rRNA". It matches the Rfam family "Bacterial small subunit ribosomal RNA", at positions 9 to 423 of the family's 1533-position model. The record is from RNAcentral. Lineage: Bacteria; Pseudomonadati; Pseudomonadota; Betaproteobacteria.